UGAAAUUGCUGGCAUUACAGCUUUCUUUUAAUUUACAUCCCAGGUUGCCACAAUUUGUAAGUGUGAAUAGCAAAAUCCUAAAAGCACCUUGCAGUUCAUGAAGAAAAUUAAGGUCCAAUUUAACAAGUGCAUUUCAUGUAACUUAACUUUAGGUGAUUUUUCUGCCCAUAAACAAGAAAAAACUACCAACCUGACAAGAACAGGAUGCCUAACACUGUGUGUGCCUGUGCAGACACUACUUCCAGCACAACCAAAAGUGGCAGCUGCCGCCUGUGCCAGACUUACAAGCACACAAAGCUUUUUAUUUCAAGCAUUCAAAUUCUGGUUUGAUACAGUCAGGAAUUUGGAUGCCGGUCUGGAGAGCAGGCUGAAGUGAGCAGCAGAUACUACUCAGUCCUAGUUUUGGCGAUAGAUUGGUGACCUGAAGUCACCUCGAGUGCAUUCCUGGGAGCUGUUUGCUAGGCGGAGGUUGGGCUUUGCCAGACAGAAGAAAUUCAAGGACCAGCUCCACCAGGCUCCUGCUGCCAUGCCGCCGCUGCCGCCUCGACCCACAAAGCGAAGUCUUGGGUUAAAAUUCAGUGCUAAGACCCGAAAUGCAACCAGCCGGUUUUAUCUAGAGGGCUCUAACAGUAAGCAUCCCGCUGAAAGGCAGUAGGCUGGGAGGCACACACACCAAACAGAAUCUAAACAACUAAAUUUA
Cygnus olor (mute swan) is the source of this 700-nucleotide long non-coding RNA. RefSeq lists it as uncharacterized. Lineage: Eukaryota; Metazoa; Chordata; Aves; Anseriformes; Anatidae. The transcript is spliced from 3 exons. The record is from RefSeq and is a predicted model, not a curated record.